UCUCCGUUGGUGAACCAGCGGAGGGAUCAUUAUCGAGUUUAUAACUCCCAAACCCUAUUUGAACUUACCCCUUGUUGCUUCGGCGCGCGCUUCGGCGCCGCCGAGGACACUUAAACUCUUUGUUUUUAUAAGCAUUUCUGAGUGGCCGAAAGGAAAAAUACAAAUGAAUCAAAACUUUCAACAACGGAUCUCUUGGUUCUG
RNAcentral lists this unclassified non-coding RNA (201 nucleotides) under plant metagenome. Its description in RNAcentral is "partial contains small subunit ribosomal RNA, internal transcribed spacer 1, and 5.8S ribosomal RNA". The record is from RNAcentral.